Ictalurus punctatus (channel catfish) is the source of this 2286-nucleotide long non-coding RNA. RefSeq lists it as uncharacterized. The record is from RefSeq and is a predicted model, not a curated record. The transcript is spliced from 6 exons. NCBI's taxonomy places the organism in Eukaryota, Metazoa, Chordata, Actinopteri, Siluriformes, Ictaluridae.
CUCAGCCCCGUCUGUCCGUGUCUCCUGAAGUUCUCACAGAGAGAGGAUCAGUGCAGAUUCACUGUCAUGUUCCAGACAAUGUUAAAGUGCAUCAGUGUUAUUUCUACCCAGAGAGAGACAACACAAAUCUAAAACUCUCUCCAUCAUGUCAGCUCUCAGUCUCUGGUUCUGAACUGAUCUGGUGGACAGGACGAAGUUCUCCUGGAACACUUCAUAUUACUUGUUACUACGCUUUGGAUAACUCUGUUCGUACUCCUUCUCCUCACUCUCUCCCAGCUCCAGUCACAGUGCGGUAUCAGAAACCGAGACUAAGCGUCAGUCAUGAUGGUCAGUUUGAUGAAUUGAGAUUUGUGUGUGAAAUAUCAGGGUCAGAGUCAGUAACUGCUGAUUUUAGCUGUAAUCUCUACACUGGAGAAAAUCCUCAGCUUUUCCUAAUCCAAAGAUCUCAAAACGGAAAAUCUGUGAAGGUUUGUAGUUUUACAGCACAGAGAGACGCUGUGUUUAAUCGUCUGCAGUCAGUAAAGAGUCGUGAAGUGAGCUGUGAUUAUUCACUGAUCUCUGACCCGACUGCUCGCUCUCUAAUGAGUGAUAAACACAACAUGAUGCGUAAGUUAUAAUAAACAAAUUAUGUAUUCCAUUACUUUAUACCUUUGAAUAAUUUGAACUCAUUUUCACUUCAUCUUUUGUCAGAUUUCUUUACAACAACAACAACGACUCAGACAUCCACUCCUGAAGAGAAACCCAGUGCAGAUUUGAGUCUGGUAACGACGCCACCAUCCACAGCUACGGAGGAACCUACAGCAGCUUCUCCAGUUUUUUCAACUCCUCUGAUCACCACAAGACACACAGCGACUCGAUCGCUGCCUACCGUACUGUUAGUCACCGGUGUGUGUGUUUUACUGGCUGGACUGAUGAGCGUCUGUCUCUGCGUGUGUAUAUCUGUGUGGAUUAUCUUCAGCAGAUGUAAAUUGAACACGACCCACCGUGAUCAGGACGGUGAUGAGGUUUACACAGAGGUGAUGUACACACUCUCCUCUUAGCAGUUCUCAGAGGAAACACAGCUCCUUUCAGCUUCCUCUGAAUGAUGGACACUGAACAGCUUCUGUCUUCUGUCUCAGUUUAAAGUCUGAACUCAAUAAACUCUUAUUUGUUAAAUAACACAAAUGUUCCUAACAAUUCAUUUGAUUCUCAUGAAUGCUUUUCACAGUCUGCCUUUAUCAUGAACCGUGUGUUUUCUAAAGGAAAUCUGCAGGGUGAACUAUUUUACUGUUGAAUUUGAAACGCACAAUAAAUCAUUUAAUCAGAGAUGCACGUUAAAUCAUCCGAGUAUUGCUUCUUUAUCUUUUAUCUUCUUAUACAGCCUAUCUGUGUGGAUAUUGUUGUUGCUUUGUUGUUGUUUUAUUUUUAUAUUUGAGGCAGGAUCACAUCUGUAAUUAUUUAUUUAACAUGUACAUGUAUUCUUAAAUCUAGAACAGUCACAGUUGUUUAUGUGAUAAUGAACAGGUUUUGUUUUUUCCUUAAAGAAUCUGUACAUGUACAACAUUAUAUUAUAAUCACAUGGGAAAUCAUCUGUCCUCAUUUACUGUAUAUAAACUAAUGUACUAAUGAAUACUUAUUCACAGAUUUACUCAACGUGACAUCUUAAAUGUUUUGGAGAUAUUAAUGCCAAUAAAUAACUAUUUUAAAACAGCUCACUCAGUAUUAUGGAACUGAAGUAAUUCUGUUGAAGUUAAUCCAACUAUGUAGAAAAAAAUAAAAUAAAAAAAAAAUAAUAAAGAAAACUUUAAUGAGCAGAUUCUGGGGCGUUGUCUCCCCCUAGGGGGUGAAAUAAAUACUGCCGUUAAACCAGAGAAGAAGGAACAUUGAGGACAGUUCUGUAAUCAUAGUCAGGAUUAAAUGAAUGAAUGUUGGCCCUCCCUAGUCUAUAAAUGAAGUACUGAUAUUAAACAUCUUCAUGAGGGAAGCCUGGAGGUGAUGCAGUGAUGAUGUGGAGUGAUGGGUCAAAGAAAAAGUUUGCUGUGUUGUGUUGUGUUAUACUUAUUGUACCUGGUUCACUUGUACAGCAUCUAUUUAUUGUCUUGUAUCUUGUCUGUGUACAGUGGUUAAUGUUCUGCUUCUGCAUUCUGAUAUUUUGAUCGUAAUGUGUGGUUUUGUUCAUAAUGUGUGGUUUUCUGUGAAUAAAUUUCCAGCACUGACAGUUUAAAAGUCUACUGUAUCAAAGAACCUGACAACAUACUGUGUCAUAAAUGUUAAACCCUUAUGUGAAUUCUAUAUUUAUUUAAAGUG